Molecule: ribosomal RNA, 681 nt
Filed under: uncultured Planctomycetota bacterium
Lineage: Bacteria; Pseudomonadati; Planctomycetota
Description: bacterial SSU rRNA
Rfam family: Bacterial small subunit ribosomal RNA
Source: RNAcentral
AGGCUCCUUCGGGAGUACUCGAGCGGCGAAAGGGAGAGNUAACGCGUGGAUAUCUACCCCCUGGACUGGGAUAGCGGCGGGAAACUGCCGGUAAUACCGGAUAAAGUCUCCGGACCAAAGGUGUGACUCCGCCGGGGGAUGGGUCCGCGUCCUAUUAGCUUGUUGGUGGGGUAACGGCCUACCAAGGCAGGGAUGGGUACCGGGUGUGAGAGCAUGGCCCGGCUCACUGGGACUGAGACACUGCCCAGACACCUACGGGUGGCUGCAGUCGAGAAUCUUCGGCAAUGGGCGCAAGCCUGACCGAGCGACGCCGCGUGCGGGAUGAAGGCCUUCGGGUUGUAAACCGCUGUCAGAGGGGAGGAAAUGCAUGGGGGUACUCCCUCAUGUUUGACCUAUCCUCAGAGGAAGUACGGGCUAAGUUCGUGCCAGCAGCCGCGGUAAUACGAACCGUACGAACGUUAUUCGGAAUCACUGGGCUUAAAGAGUGCGUAGGCGGCCUGGCAAGUUGGGUGUGAAAUCCCUCGGCUCAACCGAGGAACUGCGCUCAAAACUGCUAGGCUUGAGAGAGAUAGAGGUGAGCGGAACUAAUGGUGGAGCGGUGAAAUGCGUUGAUAUCAUUAGGAACACCAGUGGCGAAAGCGGCUCACUGGGUCUCAUCUGACGCUGAGGCACGAAAGCUAG